This is a long non-coding RNA of Sorghum bicolor (sorghum), 5686 nucleotides long. RefSeq lists it as uncharacterized. The transcript is spliced from 11 exons. NCBI's taxonomy places the organism in Eukaryota, Viridiplantae, Streptophyta, Magnoliopsida, Poales, Poaceae. The record is from RefSeq and is a predicted model, not a curated record.
CAAAACAUGGAAGAAAAAAAAUGUCGCGAGUCACGCCGGCUCUGCUUGUGCCGCCCUUCUCGCGCCGCCGCGGUCUCUCUCUCUCUCCACAUGAGGCAGUGCACCAGGUGGGCACCUGCACUGGCCGCUCUCCGACGCGGUGGCGCACCAGUGCCUCCGGAAUUUGGCCAUGGCCGGAUCCAGGGCGGCGGCGGCUAUGCCCUCCCCUGUGCUAGGCGCACCUCCCUCUCAGGGCGGCAGCAGCUAUCCCCUCCUUUGUGCGAGGCGCCCCCCCUCUCUCUGUCCCUAUGCUCUAUCGACAUGGUGGUACAACAGCCGGCGGUGGCCACGGCCACGAGCCCUCUCCUCCUCCCCCGAUAUGGCUCAAUGCGGAUGGGUCUCGACCAUGCCGUUGCCAGCGCAGGGCAGAAGUAUGGCCUGGAAAGCAGCUCGUCCUCAUCUUCAUGCCUCUUCCUUUGUCCCACUAUGGUUGUGCAUAGGGCUCAAUACUGCCACAUUUGGUAUAGAGCAGCCUCAGGUCCAUUACAAUUUUGAAUGUUGAUUGAUUUGCAGUAGAGGGCACGCCAUCACUACUGCUUGCCAACUUAUCUGACCACAAAGUGGUGGUAACAUAUUUCCCUUGUCAGUAGAGCAGCGAUGUUCAACUCCAGUAACAUUCUGCAUAUGUUCAACUCCAGUAACAUUUUGGAUAGGCAGACUACUCUGAGCAGCAGAAAUUUUGCAGGCCUUUAAAAGACCAUGUUGGUUUGGAAAGACAAAUGUCACUGGGAAUUAAUGUUAUUUAUCUCACCAUUUCCUCUGAAUUAUAUAGGCGCUGCAGUUGUAUUUUCAUGACAUGUUUAUGGCAUACUCAUAAUUGAGCCAGCUGAGAUCAAGGUAAACAUAUGUAACUUUUCUCUUACCGAUCGACAUGGAAGACAUGUAGGAUGUAGUCCAGAACAGCUUCACAGUUGUUGCUUACAUGAUUUUUUGUGGUCAUACAUUGCUCCAUAAACUGCCUUUUGCUGUAUUAUAAGUCUAGAUGGGUUAAUUUGUGUUUGUUUAUUUUCAGAUAAAAAUGAUUGCAGGUUUAUACACAAAAAAUUGAUGGCUUCAUUUGUAUUUGCGCACCCAGCCAAAAAUGGUCACAUGUUUAGUUUAAUGAAAUUUUGGGAUGGUUGUUGUAGGUUUGGCUCUCAACUUUUUCUUUUUUUUUUGUUUCUGCCUAUACAAUCUGCUACAUGCCAGCCUUCUUUUCCAGAAGUCCCUUUCCAAUCUUAUUUUUUUACUGCUCCCACUGACCUUUACAGUAUGCCGUCUAAUGAAAAUAGUGGGAACCAAAAAGUGUUAGUGGACAAAAAUUAGUAUGUACACUUUGCAGGUUAUCAGCUUCCUUCAUGCCUUAUUUGUACUAAUGUUUGCUUUCAUCACAAAGUGUACAUACUAAUUUUUGAUAUUUCAGCCUCAUGAUGCUUAAACCUAAUCAGAAUGUUAUUAUUUUUUUCCAGUUGAGUAUCCACGCCUAGCUCAGAUAGAAAGACGGAUACAAGAUCUUGAAUCUACUCUCCCACUUGACAAUGGUUUGGAAAAAGUAGCAUCAUAUAUGUUGAGGUGACAAAGCAUCAUAUAUGUACAUGGAAUCCCUUGAAGGCUUUUUGUUGCACAAAAAAAAUCAAUCCACUCAACCUAUACGCAUCCUGUUCAUAGCAUGUUCUCCCUGUUUUCGUUAGAAACAACGAUCUUGGUUCUUCGACAAUAAGGCAUCAUAUGUGUAACAAUGAUCUUGGUUCUGACCUAUCUAUCCUUAUUUUCUAAAGCUUAUGUUUAGAUUUCAACUAUUAUAAGCUAUGAAUUUUCAGUUAACAUUGAUCUUCUAUGGGUUCAAUUUUAAAUUUGUGUUCCAAUUAUUUUCUUAUAUUUUUCAGCCCUAAAAUAUACACAUCUUGGCUCGAACAGCCCUGAACUCCCAUCGCCAACAACUAACUGUGCUUGCUUGUGCUAAUUCUGGCUCUUUGUCGAUGAUGUGGUCAUUCCAGUCAGGGUUUUUUUUUAGGUUCUCCUGCAGGUUGUGGUCAUUUAAUGUCUCUCUACUUCCAUUUGUCAUGUACCUUUUUAAGCCUUAUAUAUCCCCUUCCAGUUUCAGUUUUCAUUUGCUUUUGAAAUGGAAUGUCUAUAGUUUGCAUAGAUGCAACUUCACAUUGGUUGAUGUUAUUUCCUCAAUUCGUUCCAUGAAUUUCAGCUAACAUUGAUCUUCUAUGGGUUCAAUUUUAAAUUUAUGUUCCAAUUAUUUUCUUAUAUUUUUCAGCCCUAAAAUAUACACAUCUCGGUUCGAACAGCCCUGAACUCCCAUCGCCAACAACUAAAUUGUGCUUGCUUGUGCUAAUUCUGGCUCUUUGUCGAUGAUGUGGUCAUUCGAGUCAGGAUUUUUUUAGGUUCUCCUGCAGGUUGUGGUCAUUUAAUGUUUCUCUACUUCCAUUUGUCAUGUACCUUUUUAAGCCUUCUAUAUCCCCUUCCAAUUUCAGUUUUCAUUUGCUUUUGAAAUGGAAUGUCUAUAGUUUACAUAGAUGCAACCUUACAUUGGUUGAUGUUAUUUCCUCAUUUUGUUCCUAUGUACAACAAAGAAAAAGGUGAAGAAGGCAGUCACAUUUACUAUACAUAGUAGAUCAAGAAAAUAGUUGCACACCUCUUGCUGAAGUUCAUGGAGGCAUCGGCCACAAGAGUGUCGUCCUUCUCAGGCAACAGAUGAUGCUUCCUGUCAAUCGCUAAUUGGGUUUGCACAACUGUCGUGUUGUUGACUGAUAAGGACCUUGUCAACUAGACCAUCAAAGCAGACUUGGUGGAUAUCCACGUGAGUACAAGCAUUAGCUUCUAUAUGUUGUUUCACCACACACACACACACACACACACACACACACACACACACACACACACACAAAGCAGUGUAGGUGACCCAACAUGAUUGGCAACUAUUUCUAUUGCUAAGUAGCAUAAAUUUGAAGCCUGAAUCAAUUACUAAUUAUCUUGUUUCAUACAACAGUAGCCUUCCUCAUUGCCAUAACCUGAUUAUAAAAUCUAAAAUGCCACAAUAGCUCAGUUUUCAUACUUCCAUCAAUGAUAAGUAGCUUUGUUGGUUCAGAGAUAGUCACUGUGAUUGUGAGCAAAUUUCAUAUAUGAGGCAGCUAGCCACCCAGCAACAAAUCACCAUUACGUUGUGUCUUAGCAAGGUUACUCAUGAUGUGCGUGCGCCCAAGUUCUAUGAUGUAAUGGUUUUGAUUGUCCUACUCUAGCACACCAUAAGCCACCAAUAUCGCUGAUUCGCUGUUGUAUGCCUCAGACUCUGUUUCAACCAGAUUGUAAAUAUAUAUAUCAAUGAAAGCAUAUGUUACCCAUGCGAAUAACUAUGGCUAUGAUAUAUAUAUAUAUAUACCUUAACUCAAUGAAUCUCAACAAGUACUUACAUCCUCGCGCGCAGGGGCGCGCGUUUGCCACUAGUAUACACAAUACAAUUUGGAACACGACGGCGUGCAGCCAGCCGUGCCACGAUAGCAAAAAAAAUUUCCACCCUUGGAUCCAGUAUUUACGACGGCGUGCAGCCAGCCGUGCCACGAUAGCAAAAAAAAUUUCCACCCUUGGAUCCAGUAUUUACGGUCUAUAUUUACUCCCAGUGAUCUGAUGUGUAGAGCCUUCUCGCCUUCUCCCGACCCAGCACAUCGUUAAAAAAAAAAGUCCGGCCUCUCCCCUCCUACCUCUUUCCUCGUCACUCCCUCGCCUCCUCCCUCCACGCGGGCACAGCGACGGCGGCGGCCGCCCUCCUCCUCUUCCUCCUCCCCCCUCGCAUCGCAGCAUGCUGGACAGGCCAGCACGCCGGCCCACCGCCCGAGGCGCUGCCAGGGCGCGACGGCACCCCCUGGCUGUGGCGCGGCGCCAUACGUGGGCCUCGGCGGUGGCCGUCACCAGUCAUGGCCGCCGCCUCGUUCUUCUCCUCCACUCGCGUCCCGGUGUAUCGGCCUCUCUACGUCCUCGCCCGUGACCUCGUCGUAUGUGCUGCUCGGGGCGGCUGGGCGCCGGUUCUUCGUCUUCGUCAACGGUGACGCCAGCCUCUGCUCGGCCUCUGGCUCUGGCGGCGGCCAUCAUCAGGCCUUCGCUGGCGGCGAGCACCCACCAGGUACGCACAUCCCUUCUCUUCCCUGCUUGUUGUGCAGCACCCAGCACUCAAACCCUAGCUUAAUCCAUUCGUAUUAGAAUCUGAUCUGGCUACAAUCUUUGUUACCUGGUAAGUGUGCAGUUGUGGUAGAUUUGCCUGGUGAUUAUGAUUCCCUUUUUUUCUCCACAGAUUAUUGCCAUGUUUAUUUUUCCCUAUAAAUUUGAGCCUUAUUUUCUAAAUGUUUCAUGCUAAUCAAACAACGGCGUCGACGCUGGCAAGGCCAACUGGAUCAGCAGCUCAGGGAAAAACACAUGAUGAACUCCCCCAUGCUGACCAUGUAGCAAACCUAGAAGCUCGGCCUGAAGCUAUGCGAGAACGCUUUUGCUUACUCACUAUCUUUAGUUUUUUUUCAUCUAGGUUAACUAACGAGUCACUAAUAUGAAAUUAACUAAUGGUUUCUGUAUUUUUUCCGCCAGAAUACCUUAAGUCUACUCUAUUUUACCUCUGAUUCGUACAUUAUUGUCGAAGACUACCAACAGGGAGCUGCCUGGAUAAUCUAUCAAAACAAUGCAUGGCCUAGCAGUUUUCUUGCAGUAAUGUUAAGAUUUUCAGACACAAAAAUGAAAGAGUAUGCAGACAAGGCUGAAGAACUUGGUGCAAUGCUUGCUACCGAAGUGUGAAUUAAGUCCCUUUACAAAGAAGUAAUUACUUCUCCAUCUAAACCGCAUUGGAGUGCUUCUUACCCUACCAGUGCAGUAUUAGUUAUAUGGACCUCGUGGAGUGAACCAGUUGUUCAGUCCACAGUAUAACACGUGCCGGUUUAGAUAAAUAAUAAAUCCGCUGGAAAAUGGAAAAGGCCAUUGGGCCCAAUUCGGCCCAAGGCCGAGCGGCGAUGCGGGCAGAGGCCCAUAACGUGGCCUGAGCAGCGGCUGGACCGUGGGUUCAUUUCUGAAGAAUUGGAGGGUUUUUUUGCAAAAAUAUAUGAGAGAGGGAAGUGGACUGCGGGUUGAUUCGUAUAAAGUUGGAGGGCUUUUUUGCAAAACGACCAAGGAGAGCACGAUCUCGCCCGUUCAUGAGCCCGAUCCGACGGCCGAGAAAGGUGCCUAUCUUAUUCUGGUCGUCUUUCUAUUUUUUGCAUUAUUUGGCUUAACAACUAUUUUAUCGAACGGAAAGCUAAAAGGCACAAGACUCACAUGGAUUCAGUCUUCAGCCAAAACCUAGAGCUCAGACGUCUACUUCAACAAAGAAAACAAAAUAGGGUGCACCACCAUCUUAAACUUGGGUCAUCUUCUUUACAGAAUGACAAGCAGCACCUACUCAUGAACUAAUGUUUGUAGAAUAUUGCCUCUGUUAUUUUCUCAAGUAGAAUUGAUAGAAUUAGCCAUCAACCCGCUUCAUACUAAACUUGCAUAACAACUUUAUCACACACUUGACGAUGUUUUCUUUGCCUAUUAAACUCUCCCGUCUUAAUGCAGUGGCACCUCCUAUCGUUGUUUAUAGUGUAUCAAAACUUUGUUGCAAACUUUGUUGUUCUAUAUAUAUCUAUCAACUUCCAAUACCUUC